GGCUGUUUGGUUAUUUUGCUUUGGGAAGCCUGACACCCAUUGGUACCUAAGCCGGUUAGUUUUUAAGAAAACAAAAACUGCAAUGAUAAACUAGAACUGCAAGCAGUUAUGACUGUGUCCAAGCCUCUCUGAC
Long non-coding RNA from Sander lucioperca (pikeperch), 133 nucleotides. RefSeq lists it as uncharacterized. The transcript is spliced from 4 exons. The record is from RefSeq and is a predicted model, not a curated record. Lineage: Eukaryota; Metazoa; Chordata; Actinopteri; Perciformes; Percidae.